This is a long non-coding RNA of Ornithodoros turicata, 1760 nucleotides long. RefSeq lists it as uncharacterized. NCBI's taxonomy places the organism in Eukaryota, Metazoa, Arthropoda, Arachnida, Ixodida, Argasidae. The record is from RefSeq and is a predicted model, not a curated record. The transcript is spliced from 2 exons.
GUGGCCAAUGCAAGCUUCGCUACCAUUUAUAUGUACCUUGCUCCGUGUUCCAGCGAAGUCUGUGGCGUUUCUUCUGUGUGUGGAGCUCUUUCCUUUGUGCGUGGACAUCUAUGAAUACUUCAGGCAUGUAAGGUUGACCUUGUCUAGAGGAGCAUGAGUGGAAAAAAACAGUGUAGCCGUGAGAUAAUAGGGUGACGUCACGACCAAUGAGAACGGCCUGCAGGGGGCGCAAGGAUUCACUUCUCUCUUGGACACUGACGGGUCUGGACACGCAAAUUCUGCUCCUGGCGUUGACCGUCACUGGAAGAGCGUAGCUUCGGUGGGGUUCUGUCUGCCUCUGAUGGGGUGCGGAUGUGUGGUUCGUCACUGGUAAACGGUGUUCGACGAUGCAGGUGGAUUUUGUGACGAGCGGAUUUACAAUGAGGGAAUGCUGUGAACGGGAAAAAUGAUGGUGAGUGUCUUUUUCACUCUGUUCAAGUGUUUGUUUGUUUUCCUCUGUUGCCCAGCAGUCGUACAAUUUCUCCUGACAUGUUCUGACAUGCCCCGAUAUGCAUGCUUUCCUGUGUUGACGUUUUGUUUUUCUUUUUUCUUUUUUGACAAGGAACAUUGUUGUCUUGACGAUAGUGCUGCCCUGAGUUUUGCGCUCCUGUUUACCCGUACUCUGUGUUGAUUUGUUGAGUGCCUAGUCCUCUUAUUAGCCGUUGAUGGAGUUAACGUGUUAGGAUAUUUUGUUCUUUUGCAAGUCUCAUUUAGUAAGACUUUGGAAUUCCUACGAUCAGUUUUCAUGCAUGGUGCUCUUCUGCAAUAGUUUCCUAUUCAAUCGUUAUAGAAGAAUAAAGGAAAUAAUCUUGAGAUAGUGAUUCAAUAAAAUAGGUCCUCUGUCUAGAGCGUACGCGUCCUUGAGCCACGCAGGUGCAUGAUGAUGUCAUGCCAUGACUUCAUUGUAGAUUGACCUUGUCCAAAGGAGCAUUAGUGGAAAAAAAACAGUGUAGCCCUGAGACAAGAGGAUGAUGUCAUGACCAAUGUGAACGGCCAGCAGGGGGCACAGGAAUGCUCUUCUCUCUUAGCCUCUCGCAGGUGGUCGCCGCAGAGGGCGCUAAGAGCGCAUGCGUAGCGGCCGCGGAGCGGCGCCUCAGCCAGUUUCUCGCUGGCUGUCGUGGAGAGCAGAUGUGUGCUCGGUUGCUCAGCAGUCCCCGCGCUCGCUCAGUUUAUGCCUGGCUGAUGAGCAGUCGCCGCGGGGGAAAAGGUGAGUGAUUUGCCGCGCUCCUUUUCUCGCAUGUUUGCCGUGUUUAGCGGUGACCAACGAGUGAUUUGUCGAUGUUUGACCGCGCUCGUGUUAAGCCUUUUCUCGCAUGUUUAGAGUUGUUUAGCGGAGAGCAAGCCUGUUGUUUAGCGGUUCCCGCCUUAUGUUAGGUGUAUAGUGUUGAGGCGCUGUGGUUAGGCCUAGUCGAUUGCCUUUUCCCCAAUGUGUACUGUUUUCUGUUUAGCAGUAGUGGUUAGACCUUUUCUCUUGCAUGCCUAGACUUGUUUAGCAGUGUUGGCAUUUUCUACCUGCCGUUAGUGUCUUGUUCUGUCUUUCUCGCCUAGAGCUAUGAUGGUGGCGCCAUCUGGUGUGGUGCCUGGCAACUAAGUGGCCACCUGUCGUCGAUCUCUGGAACUGCUGGGUGCCAACUACCAACAUGGCGGGCGCUGGUCCCCCCGGAGCGGUUUCUUCGCCGCGGCAUCGUUGAUUUUCAAAUAAAUUGUUUCUCUCCACUCUA